UAGGGAAUCUUCCGCAAUGGACGAAAGUCUGACGGAGCAACGCCGCGUGAGUGAAGAAGGAUUUCGGUUCGUAAAACUCUGUUGUUAGGGAAGAAAAAAUGUAUAGUAACUAUAUACAAAAGAGACGAUACCUAACCAGAAAGCCACGGCUAACUACGUGCCAGCAGCCGCGGUAAUACGUAGGUGGCAAGCGUUGUCCGGAAUUAUUGGGCGUAAAGCGCGCGCAGGUGGUUUAGAAAGUCUGAUGUGAAAGCCCACGGCUCAACCGUGGAGGGUCAUUGGAAACUAAUAAACUUGAGUGCAGGAGAGAAAAGUGGAAUUCCUAGUGUAGCGGUGAAAUGCGUAGAGAUUAGGAGGAACACCGGUGGCGAAAGCGGCUUUUUGGCCUGCAACUGACACUGAGGCGCGAAAGCGUGGGGAGCAAACAGG
RNAcentral lists this ribosomal RNA (429 nucleotides) under Verrucomicrobiota bacterium. Its description in RNAcentral is "Verrucomicrobia bacterium partial 16S ribosomal RNA". It matches the Rfam family "Bacterial small subunit ribosomal RNA", at positions 355 to 776 of the family's 1533-position model. Lineage: Bacteria; Pseudomonadati; Verrucomicrobiota. The record is from RNAcentral.